Molecule: long non-coding RNA, 618 nt
Organism: Oncorhynchus tshawytscha (Chinook salmon)
Lineage: Eukaryota; Metazoa; Chordata; Actinopteri; Salmoniformes; Salmonidae
Source: Ensembl
CUAUAUACAGGGGGUACCAGUACAGAGUGAAUGUGGAGGCUAUAUACAGGGGGAACCAGUACAGAGUCAAUGUGGAGGCUAUAUACAGGGGGUACCGGUACAGAGUCAAUGUGGAGGCUAUAUACAGGGGGAACCGGUACAGAGUCAAUGUGGAGGCUAUAUACAGGGGGUACCAGUACAGAGUCAAUGUGGAGGCUAUAUACAGGGGGUACCAGUACAGAGUCAAUGUGGAGGCUAUAUACAGGUGGUACCGGUACAGAGUCAAUGUGGAGGCUAUAUACAGGUGGUACCGGUACAGAGUCAAUGUGGAGGCUAUAUACAGGUGGUACCAGUACAGAGUCAAUGUGGAGGCUAUAUACAGGGGAUACCGGUACAGAGUCAAUGUGGAGGCUAUAUACAGGUGGUACCAGUACAGAGUCAAUGUGGAGGCUAUAUACAGGGGGUACCAGUACAGAGUCAAUGUGGAGGCUAUAUACAGGGGGUACCGGUACAGAGUCAAUGUGGAGGCUAUAUACAGGGGGUACCAGUACAGAGUCAAUGUGGAGGCUAUAUACAGGGUGUUAAGUUGCAGAGUCAAUGUGGAGGCUAUAUACAGGGGGUACCGGUACAGAGUCAAUA